UUUCAUUCCUUAACAUAUUCUAGAAUUGGAACAACACGGAGUAGAUUAGCAACUCCCUAUACAAAGAUAACACACAAGCUCGUGAACCACUCCAAAAUUUA
RNAcentral lists this small nuclear RNA (101 nucleotides) under Angiostrongylus costaricensis. The record is from RNAcentral. Lineage: Eukaryota; Metazoa; Nematoda; Chromadorea; Rhabditida; Metastrongylidae.